This 381-nucleotide ribosomal RNA is filed under the name uncultured marine Chaetocerotaceae. RNAcentral describes it as "SSU rRNA". It matches the Rfam family "Eukaryotic small subunit ribosomal RNA", at positions 587 to 972 of the family's 1831-position model. The record is from RNAcentral. Lineage: Eukaryota; Bacillariophyta; Thalassiosirophyceae; Chaetocerotales; Chaetocerotaceae.
AGCUCCAAUAGCGUAUAUUAAAGUUGCUGCAGUUAAAAAGCUCGUAGUUGCAUUUCCGAGGCAAGGGAUUAGUCCGACCUUUGGUGGGUAUUUAAUCCUCUUGCCUCGUCCUUGAGUGGUGCUUCUUGGUAUUAAGUUAUCGAGGAGAUAGCCGCUCAUCGUUUACUGUGAGAAAAUUAGAGUGUUCAAAGCAGGCUUAUGCCGUUGAAUAUAUUAGCAUGGAAUAAUAAGAUAGGACCUCGGUACUAUUUUGUUGGUUUGAGAACCAAGGUAAUGAUGAAUAGGGACAGUUGGGGGUAUUCGUAUUCAGUUGUCAGAGGUGAAAUUCUUAGAUUUACGGAAGACGAACUACUGCGAAAGCAUUUACCAAGGAUGGUGUCA